This is a long non-coding RNA of Dreissena polymorpha, 268 nucleotides long. RefSeq lists it as uncharacterized. NCBI's taxonomy places the organism in Eukaryota, Metazoa, Mollusca, Bivalvia, Myida, Dreissenidae. The transcript has 3 exons. The record is from RefSeq and is a predicted model, not a curated record.
CGCACAAAUAGACGAUGCUAAAGCUAAAUGCGAGGCAUACUUAAAAGAUGAAUGCAUGGAUGGCAUCACAAUACUUGGAAAUAAGACAGAGAAAAGCUCUUUGGACUGCGCCAGAGAUCUUGUGCUGAAUCCAAACGCUUCCGAUGCCCAGCAAGGCAGCUGUCGGGCCGUGAAGACCACAAUAGUCACCACCUUUGUAAAGGACAAGGAAGCGCAGGAGGUAUACAAAGAACAAUUCGAUAAGGCAACGAAAAUGUGCAUCGACGAC